GUGAAUAUCAUUAGCUGGAACUAUCGCGGGAUUGGCAACGACACGACAGUCUGAGAGCUAUGCACGUACGUUAGUGCAACGGUUUGCUCCCCGGUGCUAUGCUUGCAAGAAACUCAAGUAGGAGGGUUACAGGCUAGAAAUCUAGCAUUUUCUUUUGGUUUUGGUAGGUGUUAUACUGUUGGAAGUGAUGGUAGAUGUGGAGGUUUGGCUAUGUACUGGAAUGAUGAUUUA
RNAcentral lists this ribosomal RNA (231 nucleotides) under Triticum aestivum (bread wheat). Its description in RNAcentral is "partial small subunit ribosomal RNA". Lineage: Eukaryota; Viridiplantae; Streptophyta; Magnoliopsida; Poales; Poaceae. The record is from RNAcentral.